Molecule: ribosomal RNA, 497 nt
Filed under: uncultured bacterium
Lineage: Bacteria
Description: partial 16S ribosomal RNA
Rfam family: Bacterial small subunit ribosomal RNA
Source: RNAcentral
GAUGAACGCUGGCGGCGUGCCUAAUACAUGCAAGUCGAGCGAACGGACGAGAAGCUUGCUUCUCUGAUGUUAGCGGCGGACGGGUGAGUAACACGUGGAUAACCUACCUAUAAGACUGGGAUAACUUCGGGAAACCGGAGCUAAUACCGGAUAAUAUUUUGAACCGCAUGGUUCAAAAGUGGAAGACGGUCUUGCUGUCACUUAUAGAUGGAUCCGCGCUGCAUUAGCUAGUUGGUAAGGUAACGGCUUACCAAGGCAACGAUGCAUAGCCGACCUGAGAGGGGGAUCGGCCACACUGGAACUGAGACACGGUCCAGACUCCUACGGGAGGCAGCAGUAGGGAAUCUUCCGCAAUGGGCGAAAGCCUGACGGAGCAACGCCGCGUGAGUGAUGAAGGUCUUCGGAUCGUAAAACUCUGUUAUUAGGGAAGAACAUAUGUGUAAGUAACUGUGCACAUCUUGACGGUACCUAAUCAGAAAGCCACGGCUAACUACGUG